UGCGUGCAGGCGCAGAUAUAUAGUAGCGUGCAGCCAAGGAUGACUUGCCGGCAGAAUGCUGUGUUUCCAGCUCUCCUUGGAUAUGUUCAGAAACAUAUAUAUUGUAAUGAAUGAAUUGGUGCAAGUUGGCAAGUUGUCCUUGGCUACAUGUUUCUUUCUGCUCCGUAUGCCAGGCCU
Molecule: microRNA precursor, 177 nt
Filed under: Citrus sinensis (sweet orange)
Lineage: Eukaryota; Viridiplantae; Streptophyta; Magnoliopsida; Sapindales; Rutaceae
Source: RNAcentral